RNAcentral lists this ribosomal RNA (372 nucleotides) under uncultured bacterium. RNAcentral describes it as "bacterial SSU rRNA". It matches the Rfam family "Bacterial small subunit ribosomal RNA", at positions 28 to 404 of the family's 1533-position model. The record is from RNAcentral.
GACGAACGCUGGCGGCGUGCUUAACACAUGCAAGUCGAACGAUGAACCACUUCGGUGGGGAUUAGUGGCGAACGGGUGAGUAACACGUGGGCAAUCUGCCCUUCACUCCGGGACAAGCCCUGGAAACGGGGGUCUAAUACCGGAUAACACUGUCACGGGCAUCUGUGGUGGUUAAAAGCUCCGGCGGUGAAGGAUGAGCCCGCGGCCUAUCAGCUUGUUGGUGAGGUAAUGGCUCACCAAGGCGACGACGGGUAGCCGGCCUGAGAGGGCGACCGGCCACACUGGGACUGAGACACGGCCCAGACUCCUACGGAGGCAGCAGUGGGGAAUAUUGCACAAUGGGCGAAAGCCUGAUGCAGCGAUGCCGCGUGA